Long non-coding RNA from Aphis gossypii (cotton aphid), 982 nucleotides. RefSeq lists it as uncharacterized. NCBI's taxonomy places the organism in Eukaryota, Metazoa, Arthropoda, Insecta, Hemiptera, Aphididae. The transcript has 2 exons. The record is from RefSeq and is a predicted model, not a curated record.
AUAAGUUGUUUCUAAGCUCUUUGACAUUGUUCGAAGAGUCAUGGUAACAUUAUUGUUUUUUUACCAUAGACUCCUACAUUAAGACUUUAGAAUAGAGUAGUACGUUCGUAUAGAAGUUUGUAUUGUUAUUAUUUAGUCGUGAAAAAAUAUUUCAUAAAUUAUUUCGCAUUUCAUCCUUAUAUAUUAUAAUUUUUUUAUUACGUAGUGCUGUGUUUUAAAUUGUAAGAAAUCAAAUUGUAAAAACAUAAAUACUUAACUUUUUUCUUUACCAACAAAUAACAUCUGACAUUGUCAUUGUUACAUGUCAUUGACAAGUAACAUUUGUUCUCAAUUUAAUAUUUUCAAGUAUAAGAGCAAAACAAAAAAAUAAUUGUUAUUCCUGUAGCAAGUUCUGGAAUAGCUGCUACUCUUUUACGCAAUAAUGAAACAGUACAUUCGCUUUUAAAUUACCACUAAACUUGCAAAACACUGAUUAUCCAGUAUACAAUAUUAAAAAAGGUACAAUGAAUGCUAAGUUAUUUCGAGAAUGCAGUGCCAUCAUCUGGGAUGAAUGUAUACUUGAGCUCAUAAAAACCAAUAAAAGCAUUAAAUCGAACUUUAAAAGAUAUAAGAAACACAACCAAAAUUAUGGGUGGAAUAACUGUAAUUAUUUCUGCUGAUUCUCGUCAAAUUUUACCUGAGCAAUUCAAUGAGAUAUAAGAGCCGAUGAAAUUAAUACGUACUUUAAAUAACCCCAUUUAUGAAAAGAUAUAAAAUUUUAAACCUUGAAAAUCAUAUACAAACUCAAUUGCACGGAGAGAUCAAUGUUGCUAAUUUUUCAAACUGGCUAUGACAAAUUGGAAAUGGUACUUUUCCUGUGGAUAAUUAUGGAUUUAUUCAAUUUCCAGAACAAUUCUAUCAUAUAGUAUACACUAUUGAUGCAUUAAUUUCUGUGAUAUACCCAAAUAUCAGUAAUAAUAUUAAAAAAAAUAAUGAAUGGUUA